RNAcentral lists this ribosomal RNA (433 nucleotides) under uncultured bacterium. RNAcentral's name for it is "bacterial SSU rRNA". It matches the Rfam family "Bacterial small subunit ribosomal RNA", at positions 957 to 1391 of the family's 1533-position model. The record is from RNAcentral.
GAACGCGAAGAACCUUACCCGGGCUUGAAUUGCAGAGGAAGGAUUUAGAGAUAAUGACGCCUUCGGGGUCUCUGUGAAGGUGCUGCAUGGUUGUCGUCAGCUCGUGCCGUGAGGUGUCGGCUUAAGUGCCAUAACGAGCGCAACCCCUCUCUUCAGUUGCCAUCAGGUUAAGCUGGGCACUCUGGAGACACUGCCACCGUAAGGUGUGAGGAAGGUGGGGAUGACGUCAAAUCAGCACGGCCCUUACGUCCGGGGCUACACACGUGUUACAAUGGCCGGUACAGAGGGAUGGUGUAAUGCAAAUUGCAUCAAAUCUUGAAAGCCGGUCCCAGUUCGGACUGGGGUCUGCAACCCGACCCCACGAAGCUGGAUUCGCUAGUAAUCGCGCAUCAGCCAUGGCGCGGUGAAUACGUUCCCGGGUCUUGUACACACC